GAAAGCCCACGGCUCAACCCGUGGAACUGCAUCGGAAACUGUCAUUCUUGAGUGCAGAAGAGGAGAGUGGAACUCCAUGUGUAGCGGUGGAAUGCGUAGAUAUAUGGAAGAACACCAGUGGCGAAGGCGGCUCUCUGGUCUGCAACUGACGCUGAGGCUCGAAAGCAUGGGUAGCGAACAGGAUUAGAUACCCUGGUAGUCCAUGCCGUAAACGAUGAGCGCUAGGUGUUGGGGACUUUCCGGUUCUCAGUGCCGCAGCAAACGCAUUAAGCGCUCCGCCUGGGGAGUACGACCGCAAGGUUGAAACUCAAAGGAAUUGACGGGGGCCCGCACAAGCGGUGGAGCAUGUGGUUUAAUUCGAAGCAACGCGAAGAACCUUACCAGGUCUUGACAUCCUGCGCAACACCUAGAGAUAAGUCUUUCCCUUCGGGGACGCAGAGACAGGUGGUGCAUGGCUGUCGUCAGCUCGUGUCGUGAGAUGUUGGGUUAAGUCCCGCAACGAGCGCAACCCUUGUCUUUAGUUGCCAUCAUUAAGUUGGGCACUCUAGAGAGACUGCCGGUGACAAACCGGAGGAAGGUGGGGAUGACGUCAAGUCAUCAUGCCCCUUAUGACCUGGGCUACACACGUGCUACAAUGGGCAGUACAACGAGAAGCGAACCCGCGAGGGUAAGCGGAUCUCUUAAAGCUGUUCUCAGUUCGGACUGCAGGCUGCAACUCGCCUGCACGAAGCUGGAAUCGCUAGUAAUCGCGGAUCAGCACGCCGCGGUGAAUACGUUCCCGGGCCUUGUACACACCGCCCGUCACACCAUGGAAGUCUGCAAUGCCCAAAGUCGGUGGGAUAACCUUUUAGGAGUCAGCCGCCUAAGGCAGGGCAGAUGACUGGGGUGAAGUCGUAACAAGGUACCGUA
Molecule: ribosomal RNA, 909 nt
Filed under: uncultured bacterium
Lineage: Bacteria
Description: bacterial SSU rRNA
Rfam family: Bacterial small subunit ribosomal RNA
Source: RNAcentral